Molecule: long non-coding RNA, 1351 nt
Filed under: Oreochromis niloticus (Nile tilapia)
Lineage: Eukaryota; Metazoa; Chordata; Actinopteri; Cichliformes; Cichlidae
Description: lncRNA (ENSONIG00000022352.2)
Source: RNAcentral
CAGGUAAAGAGGCCAUGCUGCUAGCUAGUUGGCUACGAGCUAAGCUAAGUAGUGAAACAGCAAAGACACAGAGUGACUACUGUGACUAUAAAUUAGGUAGUGAGUACACAGGGAGUGUGCUUCGGAUGAAGCAUGUGAAGAUUAUACUAUGAAAAAAGAAGGCAUCUACAGUAAGUUAUCUAAAAGAUUUAAAUUGCUAUGCAGAUAAGCCACUCAAAAACACCACUGUGUGUUGGAACAGGACGUGAUACUCUACCACAGAGAGAGCGAACACCAAGUGACAGGGUGGCCCCUUUUCGAGCAACAGUUGGAGCCCAUCAGGGAUUGAACCCAGAACCUUUUGCACCCAAGCCAAGAAACAGACCCCUGACCAACAAGCUACAUAUUGUCCUGUGUAGAAAGAAUCUGACUGGACGUUGUUACUGGAAGGUGGAGUAGAGAGGGUUGAAGUUGCAGUCACAUACGAGAAUGAAGAACAUCAGUGUAGAUUUGAAAUGAAUGAUAAAAUAAAGGUGAAACACACUGUACUGUAAAAAUGACUUAUUACACACGUGCAAUGCAGGCUGUAAUAUAGAUAGCAGAUAAUUUAUCUGAAUUUCAGGAGCGGGACCACUUCUCCAAACAUGCCCCUUCCGGGUCUUAUCUAUAUUUGACCCCCCAGUUCAUUUUUGUUGCCCACCCUCCCUGCCCUUUUUUCAAUUCUUUCACUUCUUCACUACUUGUUAGGGUACCUGGGUCUGGUGACCCAGUGGUUUUGAUUUUGUUUGUGCAUAUUCUGACUUACUGUUUCUAUUAUUUAGUUUUGUAUUUCUAGCUUCCUAAGUUCUUUAGUAUGUCCUGAUUUCCAGUCUUAGGUUUUGUUUACAGUCUUCCCUAUGUUCAGUGUUAUGCCUUUUUCAUGUUUCUGUCUCAGUGUCAGGUUUGCAUUGCUGUGUUAUGUUUCCUGUUUUACUUUGACAGUCUGCAUCUAUUGAGGUGCUGGAUGUAUUACUCAAGGUCCUUACCUUCCAUCUUUCUAUAUAUGUAUAUAAUAUGUAAAUCUCCAAUCAACCAAUUUCAGUGGGCCAAUCUGAAUUAAACUUUACAUGAACAUUGUCACACAUGCAGUGAAUAUUAAAAUCUAUAUGUUAAAAAACAAACAAAAAAACUGUUAUCCCAAUUCUUUGGAUUCUUGGAGUUACAGAUUUAUCAUUGCCCUACAAAUGUGAUUUUAUGUAACAUUUUCAUUUGUAAAAAGUAAAGAAUGAAGACGCUGUUAAAGCACUGCACACCUGACAGUUAAUUAUUCUGUUAACAAGAACAUCUACAUCAUUUGUGGUAUCAUUACUGAGGAGGAGGAGGCUGGUUUUGG